CCUUUUUGGAUGUUGCUGUAGGCUUAUCCAAUGUGUUUUUCCCCCUCGUUGCACAUUUAAUAUGCUGUUCAAAUCUGGGGAAUACUGACCUUAAGUCAGCAUGGUUGAAGUCCCCCGCUAUAAUGUGCACUGCGUUUGGGUGGGAAUUCUGCUGAUUGCUUAUUGUCUUGUGCAGCUCCUCCAUGGCCGAGUUAGCGUUAGCAUCGGGUGGUACAUACACGGCCGUUACCAUGACAACAGUAAACUCGCGAGCUGUCAUUGGUGUAGAUGCAUAAACCCCCUCCUUUGUUCUUACCGGAGUGGCCGUUCCUGUCGUGACGGUGGACCGUGCAGCCUGCUAGCUCAAUAGCCGAGUCCGGAAUUGAUGGCUGCAGCCAAGUCUCUGUUGAAGCACCAGUCAGUGCUCUGAUUGCAGUUGUGUAUAGACCUCCAGACUACACUCUGAGGCCAUUCCUGAAAAACCUGGUAAGCCUAUUAGACUCAUUAGAGAUCAUGGACUGUCAUCCCAUCAUAGUGUGUGGUGAUUUUAAUGAGAAUGUUUUAUCCAG
Oreochromis niloticus (Nile tilapia) is the source of this 548-nucleotide long non-coding RNA. RefSeq lists it as uncharacterized. The record is from RefSeq and is a predicted model, not a curated record. NCBI's taxonomy places the organism in Eukaryota, Metazoa, Chordata, Actinopteri, Cichliformes, Cichlidae. The transcript has 3 exons.